Molecule: ribosomal RNA, 585 nt
Filed under: Triticum aestivum (bread wheat)
Lineage: Eukaryota; Viridiplantae; Streptophyta; Magnoliopsida; Poales; Poaceae
Description: partial small subunit ribosomal RNA
Source: RNAcentral
AACUUCCUAAACUAUGUUGUAGUCAAUAUUCUCAAAGGUGAUGUGGACAAGGAGAUGUUGUUAAGUCUUUUGAGUGCUACUUUCUGUAAAACUAGACAAUGGCCUUGGCAGAUCAAGGAUUAUCCAAGUAAGACAUUCCUGGUGAGAUUUCCUCCAUGGAAGAAUGUUGAGGAUCUCAUCAAGCUGCCUGGGUUCUCCCUACCUCAAGAUGUUUCUGUUACACUUACUGAGUGGAAGGGGGCAUGUGAACCUUUUGGAGAGCUAGUUGAGGCUUGGGUACUGAUUGAGGGAAUUCCUCCUAAAUGGUGCACAUGGAAAGUUUUUGCUCAGAUUGCUUCCUUGUUUGGGGAACUGACUGAUGUGGACUGGAAUGGCAUGUUCGGGACUUUGUUUGAGAAUGUUAGAAUAAAAAUUACUACUAAGGACCCAACAAAGAUUCCAUUUGAGAGGCUCAUUGAGAUGAAGAAGAAGUUGUGUUUGUUGGGCUUUACUGUGGAGGGCUUUGAGCAAGUGGGUGGGGUUGACUCUGUUAUUGAUAUUGAGGAUGAUGAAGAUUUAGAAGGAGAGGGUGCUGCUGAGGGAUAG